This 1534-nucleotide long non-coding RNA is filed under the name Lactuca sativa (garden lettuce). RNAcentral's name for it is "long non-coding RNA (LSAT_LNC007078)". The record is from RNAcentral. Lineage: Eukaryota; Viridiplantae; Streptophyta; Magnoliopsida; Asterales; Asteraceae.
UAUACAUAUAUAAUUUGAUUUUUAUUCCUUAAAUAUCUCAACUUAAUCGCUUGAAUUCAUCUGUAAAUUGAAUAGAUCAAAGUUGACCCUAUAUUCUCUCGCCAUCAUCGAAUUGAAUCAGUCAACAAGAGAUAUACGUUUCAUAGCCUCUCAUUAGUCAUCUCUCAAAGAACCCUUGCCGUUUCUUCUCUCGAAGGCAACAAUAUACAAGAAUCUACUCUCUUCAUCGCCUCUCACUACCAAGAAAAAACUGAUUGAACGAUGGUGACUGUGGCUAAAAAUAGUUAAAUCGGCUUCAAAACCAUUAUACAAAAAGCCCUAAAACAAACAUUCUUCCAUCGUCUAAUCGUCUCCCACUUCAGUUCUGAAGGACUCCCACUCGAAAGUACUUUUUUCUGAAGACCUUUGAAAGAUCCAAUUUUCUUUUAUCUAAUUCAAGGUAACUUCAUACUACUAGAUGUUUCUCACUUCCAUCCGCUUUUUUUCCCUGUCAAAAAAUUCUGUUUUUUUACUAUGUUUCAGGAUCUGAGAUGUCACUUUUCCAAGGUAAAAGACUUCCCCAAUCUUUCUUUGUGGAUUUUUAUUGGUUGAUUUAUGUGUGUAACCGAUUUUGUGUGCUAAAUUUUGUAGGAAGAUUCAAAAAUCAGAAAAGGAAGAAGCUGAAACAUGAGUUUAUUCAAGCUUCAUAUUUCCAGGUUUGUGUAAUUGAUGAAAGAUAUGGAUUUAUGUUUAAUUUUUUUUAAUAAUGGCUAGCAUUUUGUGAUUUAGUCACCCUGAUUUAUUAAAGUACUUGCUUUCUGGUGUCUUGUAGGGCAUAGAGAAACAGUUUGAAUAUGGAUUCGAAAAUCAACUACCUACAUUUGUUUUGCAUCUAAUCCAUCUGCUAGGUUUCUUUCAGAAAAUGGAUAAAAUAAGGCAAAAGGAUAUAUAUUUGUUUUAUUUGUUUAUUAGUUAGUGCUGAAGUUUCUCAGAUUUUCCAAGAACUUUUUGCAUUGAUAGUAUCUGUUUAACUCUAUAUGUGUAUGUGAUUGAACUUUGUUUGUGUGAAAUUUCUUGUAAGGAUUUAAAUAUGUGUUUUUUGAUGACUUUUUGUAGGAGAAAAUCAAAUCUUGGAUCAUUGUUUUGCUAUCUGGAACACACAAGGUAUCUUUCACUAAGCACUCAUAUUUAACAUAAACAUAACUAACUGAUUUAAGUAAAUCUCGAUUUUUUUUUUCACAAUCAUUUUUAAAAUAUCUAAUUUUGGUUGAAUUGUGUUUUUAACUGUUUAUGGAGUUUAGAGCAUAAUGGUCUAGGAAGAUGUGUAGCCCGUGAAAGAUCCUGCUCAAGCUUGUGGAUAGACCUACUGAAAGUCACAAUCCUUAAAAGAAAAUUGGUUUAUUUUUUUCAGCCUUUUGUUUGCAUGUUGACUCACCAGCUGCCAUGGGAUUCACAUUGUAGCUUGAGAUUUAGAUGUUUAUGUUGAUUUUCGNUAUGAUAUGAUGAAAUGUAUCAAGUUUCAAGAGUUGGGCCGAAUUAAAGUGUUUUUUUUAAG